GUGGGGAAUAUUGGACAAUGGGCGCAAGCCUGAUCCAGCAACGCCGCGUGGAGGACGAAGGUCUUCGGAUCGUAAACUCCUGUCAGGCGGGACGAAGGCAGGCGGGUGAACAGUCCGCCUGUUUGACGGUACUGCCAGAGGAAGCCCCGGCUAACUCCGUGCCAGCAGCCGCGGUAAUACGGAGGGGGCGAGCGUUAUUCGGAAUUAUUGGGCGUAAAGGGCGCGUAGGCGGCCACUUAAGUCAAAGGUGAAAUCCCUCGGCUCAACUGAGGAACUGCCUUUGAAACUGUGUGGCUCGAGUCCGGGAGGGGGUAGCGGAAUUCCCAGUGUAGCGGUGAAAUGCGUAGAUAUUGGGAGGAACACCAGUGGCGAAGGCGGCUACCUGGACCGGAACUGACGCUGAGGCGCGAAAGCGUGGGUAGCAAACAGGAUUAGAAACCCGAGUAGUCC
RNAcentral lists this ribosomal RNA (450 nucleotides) under uncultured bacterium. RNAcentral describes it as "bacterial SSU rRNA". It matches the Rfam family "Bacterial small subunit ribosomal RNA", at positions 354 to 796 of the family's 1533-position model. The record is from RNAcentral.